RNAcentral lists this unclassified non-coding RNA (301 nucleotides) under uncultured Basidiomycota. RNAcentral's name for it is "sequence contains 5.8S rRNA gene". The record is from RNAcentral. Lineage: Eukaryota; Fungi; Basidiomycota.
GAACGCACCUUGCACUCUUUUGUUAUUCAGAAGAGUAUGCCUGUUUGAGUGUCGCGAACCUCUCAACCCCGCCCGAUCUGGGUUGCCUGGGCUUGGAUCAUGGUCUUUAACAAUGCCGGCUGUCUUCGGAACCGGCUGGACUGAAAUACAACAAGCUGGAUCAGAACCUUGCGGCUUGACCUGACGUUGUAAAAUCAACUCGUUGGGGACGCAAAGUUGUGAAUGAGCUUCUGCAAAUAAUCUACUGUUGAUUCAGUACAAUAAGACCUCAAAUCAGGUAGGACUACCCGCUGAACUUAAG